Molecule: small nuclear RNA, 121 nt
Organism: Varanus komodoensis (Komodo dragon)
Lineage: Eukaryota; Metazoa; Chordata; Lepidosauria; Squamata; Varanidae
Source: Ensembl
GUCGUUUGUGAAAGCAGAGAAGGUUAGUACCUUCCUUGAUAAGAAUGGAAGAAGUCCUACUGGCCUGUACAACACCUGGUUAAGGCUCUGCCUCUUAUUUAAUGACAUCUAACCAAUUUGA